GCCGGUGUGGCGGAAUGGCAGACGCGGCGCACUCAAACUGCGCUGUCCGAAAGGGCGUGUGGGUUCGAAUCCCACCACCGGCA
Molecule: transfer RNA, 83 nt
Filed under: Microbacterium stercoris
Lineage: Bacteria; Bacillati; Actinomycetota; Actinomycetes; Micrococcales; Microbacteriaceae
Rfam family: tRNA
About the family: Transfer RNA (tRNA) molecules are approximately 80 nucleotides in length. Their secondary structure includes four short double-helical elements and three loops (D, anti-codon, and T loops).
Source: Rfam by way of RNAcentral